ACAGAAUUAUGAUAUGUCGACACCACUGGCAACUUUAUUGUUCAGUGAAAAACAAUGUUUCGACCAGAAUUUCUGGCCCUCUUCAGGUUUCAAGUAAUAAUCAAUAGUAACAGAAUUAUGAUAUGUCGACACCACUGGCAACUUUAUUGUUCAGUGAAAAACAACGUUUCGACCAGAAUUUCUGACCCUCUUCAGGUUUCAAGUUAGUAUACUCUCAACGUGAAACACCAUCCUUCAGUCCUUGGUGUGAGCAAUAAUUAUAGUGCAGUUUGUUCCGCCAGGUAAUAAUCAAUAGUAACAGAAUUAUGAUAUGUCGACACCACUGGCAACUUUAUUGUUCAGUGAAAAACAACGUUUUGACCAGAAUUUCUGGCCCUCUUCAGGUUUCAAGUUAGUAUACUCUCAACGUGAAACACCAUCCUUCAGUCCUUGGUGUGAGCAAUAAUUAUAGUGCAGUUUGUUCCGCCAGGUAAUAAUCAAUAGUAACAGAAUUAUGAUAUGUCGACACCACUGGCAACUUUAUUGUUCAGUGAAAAACAACGUUUUGACCAGAAUUUCUGGCCCUCUUCAGGUUUCAAGUUAGUAUACUCUCAACGUGAAACACCAUCCUUCAGUCCUUGGUGUGAGCAAUAAUUAUGGUGAAAAACAACGUUUUGACCAGAAUUUCAGAAAUGUUGUUUUUCACUGAACAAUAAAGUUGCCAGUGGUAUCGACGUAUCAUAAUUCUGUUACUAUUGAUUAUUACCUGGCGGAACAAACUGCACUAUAAUUAUUUUGAUAAUCGUAUUAUGUUUUAUUAUUUAACGCAUUAAAAUGCGCAAAUCGAGUUAACGUCGUCUAGCAAGCAUCUCUCUUUUUAUAUGAUCCAAACGCUUCCACUUUAGCGAUCCGAGUCAACAAGCAUCGCGUUUAUGAGAUCGGAGUGAGAUGCGCGCAAGUGUUUUCGAGUGAUGUCAGGCGGACGUCUCUCGCGAUGGCAAACUCGCUCACGGUCCCUGUGUCGAGACAAUAAAGGACGAUUGCCGCGAAGGAGCGGGCAUUAUAUCGGACGAUUACGGCAAGCCGCCGGCGAGCUGCGUGGGGCCGCGUAAAUACGAGAUAACAUCCGAUGUUGACGUUGAAAAACAUCUCGCAACACGGCAAUGAGACCGUCGGUCAAAUGUCACGCUGUUGAAUUUAGAUAACAAGCGUUAUGUAUCGCAGCGAUCGCUACAAUCAUUUUAAUAACUGCUCUUACAAUAUCUUUUUUUAAACAAAACCGUUAAAACUUCUCACAUCGAAGCAAGAUGGGCGAUGAAACUUCUUUAUUAUUUCCAGACAUGACAACAGCCUUAUUAUAUUGAAAUACAAGAUAACUAAUGCAACAAUUUAGUUUUUUCAUGAAUGAAGUGAUUACAUGGUGUUUACUUGAACAUACAUCUUGCUACAUUUUCCUCUAUAACGUUUGAUAAAUAGUUAAUAUUUGAUAGAGAUAAUUAGGAUUAUGCAUAAGCAAAAUGUACUCUGUAAAACUUUGAAAAUUUGUUACAUUAAAUUUCUGGUUUUUUUA
This is a long non-coding RNA of Ooceraea biroi (clonal raider ant), 1549 nucleotides long. RefSeq lists it as uncharacterized. Lineage: Eukaryota; Metazoa; Arthropoda; Insecta; Hymenoptera; Formicidae. The record is from RefSeq and is a predicted model, not a curated record.